Molecule: ribosomal RNA, 801 nt
Filed under: uncultured bacterium
Lineage: Bacteria
Description: bacterial SSU rRNA
Rfam family: Bacterial small subunit ribosomal RNA
Source: RNAcentral
AGCGAGGCGGAUGGGCUUGCCCAUCCAGUCGAGCGGCGAACGGGUGAGUAACGCGUGGAUAUCUACCCUUUGGUGGGGGAUAACCCGGGGAAACUCGGGCUAAUACCGCAUGACACCGUGAGGUCAAAGGGGGCCGCAAGGCUCCCGCCGGAGGAUGAGUCUGCGUCCGAUUAGCUAGUUGGUGAGGUAAUGGCUCACCAAGGCGACGAUCGGUAGCCGGCCUGAGAGGGUGAUCGGCCACACUGGAACUGAGACACGGUCCAGACUCCUACGGGAGGCAGCAGUGGGGAAUUUUGCGCAAUGGGGGAAACCCUGACGCAGCAACGCCGCGUGGAGGAUGAAGGUUUUCGGAUUGUAAACUCCUGUCAGUGGGGAAAAAGCGAGCUGACCUAAUACGUCAGUGAGUUGAUUGUACCCGCAGAGGAAGCCCCGGCUAACUCUGUGCCAGCAGCCGCGGUAAUACAGAGGGGGCAAGCGUUAUUCGGAAUUAUUGGGCGUAAAGGGCGCGCAGGCGGCCGCUCAAGUGGAAGGUGAAAUCCCCCGGCUCAACCGGGGAACUGCCUUCCAAACUGAGUGGCUUGAGUCCGGGAGAGGUGAGUGGAAUUCCCAGUGUAGCGGUGAAAUGCGUAGAUAUUGGGAGGAACACCGGUGGCGAAGGCGGCUCACUGGACCGGAACUGACGCUGAGGCGCGAAAGCGUGGGGAGCAAACGGGAUUAGAUACCCCGGUAGUCCACGCCGUAAACGAUGAGUGCUUGGUGUAGCGGGUAUCGACCCCUGCUGUGCCGAAGCUAACGCAUUAA